UACGGAGGGUGCAAGCGUUAUCCGGAUUUACUGGGUUUAAAGGGUGCGCAGGCGGAUAUAUAAGUCAGUGGUGAAAUCUCUAGGCUUAACCUGGAAAUUGCCGUUGAUACUAUAUAUCUUGAAUGCUGUGGAGGUAAGCGGAAUAUGUCAUGUAGCGGUGAAAUGCUUAGAUAUGACAUAGAACACCUAUUGCGAAGGCAGCUUACUACGCAGAUAUUGACGCUCAUGCACGAAAGCGUGGGGAUCAAACAGG
Molecule: ribosomal RNA, 253 nt
Filed under: uncultured bacterium
Lineage: Bacteria
Description: partial 16S ribosomal RNA
Rfam family: Bacterial small subunit ribosomal RNA
Source: RNAcentral